GCCCCAAGCUAUAUCUGUCACUUUGGCUUAGAACAGAUGGGACCCAGGGCAAAAUUUCACUCAACCAGCUGGGUUGUAUGGACAUCUCUUGCUCAGCUUGCUUUUAGGUCAGUGCCACGCACACCAGGAUAUGUGGAAUGUGAUGCUCGUGUACUGUGUUAACUUGAAGUUGAGGAAGUUAGGAUUUGCCUUUGCAAACUGGUAAGACAGAAGCAAUGUCUGAAGGAUUUCUAGAAGCCUGGUCCAGGCCUUAAACAUUUCAUGACUCAGAUCAUCUAUGGCCGCUGAUUUCCAAGUUCUUCCUACAAGAACACAGGGUCUUGUUCCUUAAAAUGACCCGAAGAAGGUUGCAAAACACUCGCAUCAGAAACCACUUUAUUUUUAGUUACUUUCUCCCCUUCCUCCUGUGAGUGACUUCUUAUCAGAUGAAGGCUGCACAGAAACCCUGUGACCAGCUGGCCCUGGGUCCCCGGAGGGAGUGGCUGUGUGCAAGCAGGAGUGGGAGGAGGGGCUCCUUCUUGGGACUCUCAAGUCCCCUCCCCACCGUCCAGCUCAUCUGUUGUCAUUCACUUCUCAGAUACAAUGAACUUUCAGAAAAGGAAGAACAUGUCUGAGUAGCUUCAUCCCAGCACACACCCAACACACAAGAGGUAUUCAGAUCCUCACAAAUGCUUGGCUACAAGGAUGAGAGAAGCCUCUCGUUAUGCCAGAAUUGUUGUGUGAGCCUCAGAGGAUGUCGCUUCUAUAAACACUUUCAAGGGUGCAUGUUAUGUUAUUGCGAGGCUGGCCCAUCAUGGAAAACAAAAACCCCCAAGGGCUGCGUGCAUUUUAUCUUGUUCAUUCAGAUUGUCAGCUCCUACCUGGUGCCCACUAUCUCAAGGAAUAGAUUCACCAUCUUCAACCCUCUUUCCUAAACUUGCUUUUAAUUAAUUUUCUAAAAUGGUACACCUUAUUGCAGACACUCAAAUUAGAAAACUAACAGAGAUUCUUGACUUUUCUUCUCUUUUAAAACCUCACAUGAUUCGUUACCAACUCGGUAAAUCCUGCCACUUUGAUAUUUCUCUGAAAUGCCUGCGCCCUCCUCAUCCAGCUCUGAACAAUUCCUGGGCCUCCUGCUGCAUUCUUUGACUCCAGUCUUUGGAGCACUCAUGCUAGACGGUGUCCUUCUGUGGCUCAGACCCUCUGCAGGUUACGUGUGCCUUUCAUUCGAGUCUAGAAUGGAGAACGUGCGCUCUCCUUAACACAGCUCACUGAUUUCCUCAGACCCCUUUGCUCCAUCCUCCUCAGCCCCCAGACUACUUGUCCGUCAUAACAAACUUCUUGUUUCCUGAAAACACCCACUAGCUUCUUUCUUGUUUUGUGCUGGUUGAAUGUCUCAAAGUGCGGGGGAGGAGUGAGCUCAAUGGGAUGUGGUGAAUAACGUCAUCCUGCUGGUCCUACCACUGCUGCUACAACUGACCAGAAAGCCGCCCAGACUGGGUAAACCCACUACCACUGAUACACCACGAAGGUCAUCGCAGCGUGGACUAUGUGAGCUUAAUACUGUCAGAAAUUUUGCAUCUCUACCAAAAAAAAAAGAAAACACAAAAAGAAAAAAUCUACACGUUAACUUCAGCCCUUACAGAUUUAAAAUAGCUUCAUCAAUAGAAAGCUAAUAAAGGUCAAAGCCCCAAACUGCACUGAAAAACCGCCAGUAAACUGUCUUGUCAAUUUCACAUUUCAGAUAAUUUUUACGACACUGUGAUACCGUGGACCUUAAAAUAUGAAUGCUCUCUUCCUCCAAACACCAACCGCCUACAUACUGCUUUUCUACAAACUUCCACCACACCCCAUACAUAAGAUAUAGGAAAAAGGAAUCCCCAAAACAAGUGUGGAUAAGACCAUUUGGCAUCUAACAUUAUCCUUGCAGGAUCAUCUCAAGCUUGAUUGGAGAGGCCCACAAUUCCAUGACUGACAGGUCUUUAGUAGGACAUUUAGCCCAGCUCACUGAACCAGGGAUAGGGUUCAGCAAGGUCAGGACCCCCUCUGUCAACAAUCAAAAGUUACUGCUUAUUAGCCAAUUUUAUAUUCAAUCUGGGAUGUUUUUUGA
Cervus elaphus (red deer) is the source of this 2089-nucleotide long non-coding RNA. RefSeq lists it as uncharacterized. The record is from RefSeq and is a predicted model, not a curated record. The transcript is spliced from 3 exons. NCBI's taxonomy places the organism in Eukaryota, Metazoa, Chordata, Mammalia, Artiodactyla, Cervidae.